AGAGUUUGAUCAUGGCUCAGAGUGAACGCUGGCGGCGUGCCUAACACAUGCAAGUCGAGCGGUAAGGCCCCUUCGGGGGUACACGAGCGGCGAACGGGUGAGUAACGCGUGGGUAAUCUACCCGAAAGCGGGGGACAACCUCGGGAAACCGGGGCUAAUACCGCAUAUGAUCCAUUGGAGGCACUCCUUUGGAUCAAAGGUGGCCUCUCUGCGAUGCUAUCGCUUUCGGAUGAGCCCGCGUCCCAUCAGCUUGUUGGUGAGGUAACGGCUCACCAAGGCUACGACGGGUAGCCGGCCUGAGAGGGUGUUCGGCCACAUUGGGACUGAGACACGGCCCAGACUCCUACGGGAGGCAGCAGUGGGGAAUUUUGCGCAAUGAGCGAAAGCUCGACGCAGCGACGCCGCGUGGAGGAAGAAGGCCUACGGGUUGUAAACUCCUGUCAGAAGGGAAGAAGGCUUCACGGGUGAAUAAUUCGUGAGGAUUGANNUG
Molecule: ribosomal RNA, 490 nt
Filed under: uncultured Acidobacteriota bacterium
Lineage: Bacteria; Pseudomonadati; Acidobacteriota
Description: bacterial SSU rRNA
Rfam family: Bacterial small subunit ribosomal RNA
Source: RNAcentral